CGAGGACGAACGCUGGCGGCGUGCUUAACACAUGCAAGUCGAACGAGGAUAUAUGAGUAGAGAGCUUCGGACAGGAAAUGAAUAUAUUCGAGUGGCGGACGGGUGAGUAACGCGUGAGCAAUCUGUCCCAGACAGGGGGAUAACACUUGGAAACAGGUGCUAAUACCGCAUAAGACCACGGCAUCGCAUGGUGCAGGGGUAAAAGGAGCAAUCCGGUUUGGGGUGAGUUCGCGUCCGAUUAGAUAGUUGGUGAGGUAACGGCCCACCAAGUCGACGAUCGGUAGCCGACCUGAGAGGGUGAUCGGCCACAUUGGAACUGAGAGACGGUCCAAACUCCUACGGGAGGCAGCAGUGGGGAAUAUUGGGCAAUGGGCGAAAGCCUGACCCAGCAACGCCGCGUGAACGAAGAAGUUAUUCGUAAUGUAAAGUUCUUUUAUCUGGGAAGAAAAAACAAAUUGACGGUACCAGAUGAAUAAGCUCCGGCUAACUACGUGCCAGCCGCGGC
Molecule: ribosomal RNA, 505 nt
Filed under: uncultured bacterium
Lineage: Bacteria
Description: bacterial SSU rRNA
Rfam family: Bacterial small subunit ribosomal RNA
Source: RNAcentral